This 500-nucleotide ribosomal RNA is filed under the name uncultured bacterium. RNAcentral describes it as "partial 16S ribosomal RNA". It matches the Rfam family "Bacterial small subunit ribosomal RNA", at positions 30 to 523 of the family's 1533-position model. The record is from RNAcentral.
AUUGAACGAUGGCGGCAUGCUUUACACAUGCAAGUCGAACGGCAGCGGGGACUUCGGUCCGCCGGCGAGUGGCGAACGGGUGAGUAAUGCAUCGGAACGUGCCUAUCAGUGGGGGAUAACGCUUCGAAAGGAGUGCUAAUACCGCAUAUUCUCCGAGGAGGAAAGCAGGGGACCUUCGGGCCUUGCGCUGAUAGAGCGGCCGAUGUCGGAUUAGCUAGUUGGUGAGGUAAAGGCUCACCAAGGCGACGAUCCGUAGCGGGUCUGAGAGGAUGAUCCGCCACACUGGGACUGAGACACGGCCCAGACUCCUACGGGAGGCAGCAGUGGGGAAUUUUGGACAAUGGGCGAAAGCCUGAUCCAGCCAUGCCGCGUGAGUGAAGAAGGCCUUCGGGUUGUAAAGCUCUUUUGUCCGGGAGGAAAUCCUGGCCUCUAAUACAGGUCGGGGAUGACAGUACUGGAAGAAUAAGCACCGGCUAACUACGUGCCAGCAGCCGCAGUAA